AUCCAGAUGACUAGUCCGAAAUAGGACGAAACGCGCAUCCUGGAU
This 45-nucleotide non-coding RNA is filed under the name Schistosoma mansoni. The record is from RNAcentral. Lineage: Eukaryota; Metazoa; Platyhelminthes; Trematoda; Strigeidida; Schistosomatidae.